UUUCUUUGCUUUGAUCUUUCUUCUCUUCCUUUCUGUAUAUAUUCCAUAAAAAAAAAAAAAAGAGGGAAUAUUAUUCAUUCCCACUUCCUCCUUCCCAUUCAUUAAUUACGUUGUAGACUAAAGAAAAGCUCUUCAAUUUUGAUUUUUUUUGGAUUUUAACACCAGCAAGAGAAACGAAUUCAAUUCCUACCCUCCCUCCCUCCCUCCUCAUCAAAGGCAAGGAGAUGAAAUCAUUUAGGAAAUUGAGAGGAUUUGCUUCACUUCACAAACAAGUAGUACAUAAAAACCCAAGGGAUCUUCCCUCCUUCUCUCAAUCACAUGAGCUUGCUAAAGCCUCUCAGGACAUGAAAGAUAUGAAAGAUUGCUAUGAUAGCUUACUUUCUGCUGCCGCUGGAACCGCCAAUUGUGCCUUUGAAUUCUCAGAAUCACUGCGUGAAAUGGGUGCUUGCCUUCUUGCGAAAACUGCAUUGAAUGAUGAUGAAGAAAGUGGCAGGGUCUUGCUGAUGCUGGGAAAAGUGCAAUUUGAACUCCAGAAACUUGUUGACUGCUAUCGUUCUCACAUAAAUCAGACAAUCAUAAGCCCGUCAGAGUCUCUUCUGAAUGAACUUCAAAUAGUUGAGGAGAUGAAGCAGCAGUGUGAUGAGAAAAGAGAUGUAUAUGCUCACAUGGCGAGACAGAGAGAAAGAGUGAGUGGAAGAAAUGGAAAGGGAGAGUGUUUUUCUAUGCAGCAAAUACAAGCAGCUCAUGAUGAAUAUGAUGAGGAGGCCACUUUGUUUGUUUUUCGUCUUAAAUCCCUGAAGGAAGGACAAUCUCGCAGUCUUCUUACACAGGCGGCUCGGCACCAUGCUGCUCAGCUCUGCUUCUUUAAGAAGGCUCUUCAAUCUCUUGAAGCUGUUGAGCCGCAUGUCAAAUUGGUCUCAGAACAGCAGCAUAUAGAUUACCACUUUAGUGGCCUUGAUGAUGAUGGGAGGGAUUAUGAUGAUGAUGAAGAUUAUGAUGAUGCCAUUGAUGAUGGAGAAUUGAGCUUUGACUAUGGACAAAAUGACCAGGAGCAAGAAGUUUCCAAAUCAAUAAAGUCAAUGGAGUUGGAUUUAGAGGACAUUACAUUUCCCCAAGUUGUGACAUUGGAAAUGGCAAAGGAAAAUCCAGAUACAAGUUACAGGACAUCGUUUCCUAUUAAGGGAGAACUUAGUGCAGGCACCCAAUCAGCUCCACUUUUUGCUCAAGUGAAAUCUAAUCCAGCUGGAAAAACAAAACAACUGAUGCCAUCAUCCACCCGAAAGUUCAACACUUAUGUGUUGCCUACUCCAGCAGACCCAAAGAGUUCAAAUUCUACAGGACCUGGUAGCCCGGUUUCUCAAACAUUAAAGACAAGUUUGAGUGGACGUCCUCUGAAUUUGUGGCACUCAUCCCCUAUUGGCCAUAAAAAAAAUGAUAAGUUACUAGGAGUUGAAAUGUCUAGCAAGCCCCCUGCUAUAAAUUCGCAGUCAGUACUCAAGGAGAGCAACAACAACACGGCAUCCACCCGAUUACCUCCUCCUCUAGCUGAUGGACUCUUUUUUUCAAGGCUUGAGCCACCAGCUGGCGCUGAAUCUAAGAAAAUCAAAAGAUAUGCCUUUUCUGGUCCUAUUUCAUCCCAGCCAUGGUCUACCAAGGCAGUCUCCGCAGAACAUCCACAAUUGUUCUCUGGACCCCUUUUGCGAAAUCCAACGGCCCAAUUAUUUUCAUCACCUCCGAAAGUGUCUCCAAGAAUUUCACCAAAAGUAUCUCCUAGUUCUUCCCCUCCAUUUGUGUCCUCACCCAAAAUCAGCGAGCUACAUGAGCUUCCCAGACCCCCAGUCAGUUCAACCUCCAAGUCUCCGGGGGCUGGAGGUUUGGUUGGUCAUUCAGCUCCACUGUUGCCCAAAGGCCACAUGCUUCCUGGUACAAGCAAAACGUCAGCAUCAAAUGUAGAAUCUCAACUGCCUACACCUUCUCAAGUUGUCCCUCGCAGUUUUUCAAUACCCUCUAGCAGACAUAGAGUAAUGGUCGCUCAGAAUUCAGGGAUUGUUGAGAAUGUUGCCUCACCUCCUCUAACCCCAAUAUCUUUAUCUAACACCCAGCCAUCAUCCACUGGUUCCCGGAUCGUCAAUCAGACAGUUCAAAUCAGAGGUGCAGUUUGAUUCUAUUCUUUUAUAGUGAUAGCUUUGCUUCAAGUUCAGCAACCAAAAUUUGAGCUCACACGAUUCUCGCAUCAUUUGGUACAGAGUUGAGUUGUCUAGUGGAGUGCUAACCGGAUAGAUUAUUCUCUACAUUUCCCGUGAUGUAUCAUGUUCACUCGAGUGAUUUCGCUGUCCCACAGGAAUCAUGUUCCAUGAUGUUCACCGACUUGCCAAAGAUAAAAAAAUAAUGACCUCCAUUUCUGACAGCAGAGGUUUAAAUUCUCUGGAUAGUUUGAAGUGCUUACAGAUACUGAAGACGGACGAGCUUCCCCAACUCAGGAACCAGACUGCCUGAAAGCUUUGCGUUUCCCAGGUCUCUGCAACAGCCAAUAUUUUAGUACUCACUAUUUAUUACUUCUAUAAUUUGUCGACUUCCUUGACAAUUUAACAGAUAAUUAUUUCUGUUGAGUUACUUCUUCCAUGACAGAAUUUAUGCUACUCUUAAAUUUACAUGUGCAUGAAUAUACAUAGCAACGACUUUCAUAUUUUUUUUCUCCCUAUCUUCUCCUUUAUUACUAGCACAUCAGAGUCACACAACCUGUUUCAAAGAUUGAGUUGUAAAAAAGAAACAAAAAUGAGUUAAGGAUAUAGUAGUACUAUGAUCUUCGAACAUCAUGUUUGAAAAAGUUGUCCACCCAGGAGAUCAUCAUGUACAAAUAGAUAUCACGCACGCAUGCAGAUUAGUAAAUUUGUUCAGAAAUGAGGGGCUUGUCUCUAGUGCCUAAUUAGAUGUCUUGGACUAUUUAAGGUCUAGAUAAUUGUUUUGAGAAGCAAAAAUAUAGUCAUAGUUUUCAAACCUUAACAACCAGACAACACACAAACUACAAAAACUAAAGCAAACAUGCACGAAGGCUCAAAUAAAAUGUGAAAAAAAAUAAAAAAUAGGGAUACUGGAAGAUUAGUAGUAAAUAUACGUAUGCUGCUUACAGUCGGGUAACCCGAUUAUCACCAUCGCAGGUAACGUGGAACCAAGUACAUGGAUCCACCAAGUUUGGGUCCCAGCUCUGGAGAACAUGCCCUGGAUCCUUCACUGCUCUCCUCAGAGCGUACAAAGCAUCCCCUAGUUCAUGGACCAAAAGGUUAAAAUCACAGUUCAAUUAUACUCACAGUUGGUGAAAAAUGAAAGAAAAACCUAUGUGUACCUUCUAAAUUUGCAUUUGUUAGUGCUAGAAUGAUUGAUGGAAGAACAAGAACGAGAAGAUGUAACACAGUACAGCUUGCCAUUUAGGGAACUUUAGGCCUGG
Molecule: RNA transcript, 3445 nt
Organism: Populus trichocarpa (black cottonwood)
Lineage: Eukaryota; Viridiplantae; Streptophyta; Magnoliopsida; Malpighiales; Salicaceae
Exons: 13
Source: RefSeq, a predicted model, not a curated record